Molecule: non-coding RNA, 1194 nt
Organism: Danio rerio (zebrafish)
Lineage: Eukaryota; Metazoa; Chordata; Actinopteri; Cypriniformes; Danionidae
Source: RefSeq, a predicted model, not a curated record
AGUUCACAAUAACUGGUCACCGGAAGUUUAUCAGUAUGGGAAAAACACCAGCUCGGCAUAUACCCGAUUGAAUUCUGCUUAAUGUUAGCCUAAACGAGAAACUGUUAUACUAAAGUUUGCUUUGUUUUAAAGAGUUUUUGUGAAUCACUCAGUCUAUUUAUCGUCGUCAUCCAGACAGUGAUUGUAGAGUGAAUGUUGAAUUAAACAUUUAUUUAUUUGUAUAUGUAGAUGUGCCACUUUUUGAAUAAACUAGAUUCAGGUUGUGUUUGUUAAUAUUUGGGGUGUUUUUUAUGAGAGCAGGCUUCCAUUUGUUGUGCAGGAUGAGUGAUGUUGAAUUGAGUGUAUACGACCAUCAGUGUUGCCAACUAUUUCCAAGAGGAGGGGAGACUGCAGACUUGGAUCCGGACAGAUCUACGGCCUAAGCAGUUUUACGUCCCAGGCAGUUUUACACCCCUGUUGUUCCCGAUGCCUCCAGUAGAGGGAGGCAGUGCAGUAUUUUUUUAAGCCUUUAUAACUAUACCACACUCAACCAUAAUUGCAUUCAAUUACAUUUAAUAUAAUGCUAUAAUGUUCUAGUUUAAACAAUUAAACUAUCAUAUAUAUAUAAAUAUAUGCAAAGAAACUCACAAUUUUAAAUGGUCUACUGAUUUUUAUUUAUAUAGCUAUACAGUGCAUUUUGUAUAUUAGCUAUGAAGUUUGCAUUGCACAUGCAAUAAUAUUGUUGUUUUCUAAUAUUUGUUGUUACAAUUUGUUACAAAGAAAAUAAUAAAAUAUGGGAAAGUCGGUAUCACAAUUUGUAGCUGCAAAUAAAAAAUAAAUAAAAAUGUCUUGGUCCUUUUGUUUUACCUUGUUAUAAUUCUUAAAGAAUAAAUCAAAUAUAUAAAAACAUAUUUUGAUAAGUUUUCGCAUUGGUCUAGGUAAUAUAUAAAAUGGCAUGAUUUUUUUAUUUAUUUAUUUUUUUGCUUUUCAUUUGCCAUUCUUUCCUUUUUUGGGGGAUUAAGAAUUUUUAGAUAUUUGGUCUAGAAGCAGAUCAAACUUUUAAGUGCGUAAAGGAUUUUUGCAGAGUAUUUAUACAUAACUAUUUGUUUAUUUUUUUAGUGAGCAUGAAGAAUUUGAUGCAAGGAUUCAGCUUCAUUUUAAGAAAGCUGCCAAUCUAAUGAUAUUGUUGUCAAUAAAUAAAUGUAAAAAAAGAAA